Molecule: ribosomal RNA, 400 nt
Filed under: uncultured bacterium
Lineage: Bacteria
Description: bacterial SSU rRNA
Rfam family: Bacterial small subunit ribosomal RNA
Source: RNAcentral
UGGGGAAUAUUGGACAAUGGGGGCAACCCUGAUCCAGCAAUGCCGCGUGUGUGAAGAAGGUUUUCGGAUUGUAAAGCACUUUCGACGGGGACGAUGAUGACGGUACCCGUAGAAGAAGCCCCGGCUAACUUCGUGCCAGCAGCCGCGGUAAUACGAAGGGGGCUAGCGUUGCUCGGAAUGACUGGGCGUAAAGGGCGUGUAGGCGGUUUGUACAGUCAGAUGUGAAAUCCCCGGGCUUAACCUGGGAGCUGCAUUUGAUACGUGCAGACUAGAGUGUGAGAGAGGGUUGUGGAAUUCCCAGUGUAGAGGUGAAAUUCGUAGAUAUUGGGAAGAACACCGGUGGCGAAGGCGGCAACCUGGCUCAUAACUGACGCUGAGGCGCGAAAGCGUGGGGAGCAAA